GCUGAGUCCAGCCUGGCAUCUCGCUGGCAUCGGCGGCUCGCUGGGUCCAGCCUGGCGCUGACACGUUUCUGUGCUCAUUUCAUUUUACAAAUCAACUCCCCAAGAUACCUAGGAGUGGAGUGGCUGCUUCCUGAGGAAGUUCACGCUUCAUGUUUCCAGAACUGACACUUCUCCAGAGUGGCUGCCUCCUCCCGUCCUGGUGGGCGUAUGAGGCUUCUCCUCCUCCAUUUUCUGGAAGAGCUUGGAUAGGGCAGUGUUAUUUCUCUACCGAGUAUUGCAUGGAACUCGCCAGUGAACACAUCUUGGCCUCAAGUUUUCUUUGUGGAAAAUUUUAAAUUACAAAUUCAAUUUCUUUUUUCUUUUUUUGAGAUGGAGCCUCACUCUGUCACCGAGGCUAGAGUGCAAUGGUGCGAUCUCCGCUCACUGCAACCUCUGCUUCCCGGGUCCAAGUGAUUCUCCUGCCACAGCCUCCCGAGUACCUGGGAUUACAGGUGUGCACCAUCAUGGGGGCUAGUUUUUGUAUUUUUGGUAGAGACGGGAUUUCACCAUGUUGGCCAGGCUGGUCUCAAACUCCUGUCCUCAGGUGAUCCACCUGCCUGGGCCUCCUAAAAUGCUGGGAUGACAGGCGUGAGCCACUGCGCCCGGCCCAAAUUCAGUUUCUUCAAUUAUUAUGGGACUCUUGGGCUUUCUUUCUUCGUCGGCUGUAGGGAGAGGAUUAGGGUUUGGGCUAGCGUUCGUUUUAGUAAUCUGUGCCUUUCACGGAGUGUUUCUCAUUUAAUGUAGGGUGCUGAGUUGAUUAGAAUAAAGUUGUUCAUAAUAUUACCUUAUUAUUCCUGUAGCAUCUCUGUGGAUUUGUGGUGAUAUCUUUUCUUCUUGAUAUUGGCUAUUUGUAUUUUCUCACCUUUUUGCUAGAUCAUUGCAGCUUGGGGUUCACUGACGUUGUUCUGUAAUGGAUCCCGGUUUCCUGUAAACCCACGUAUGUCCCGUGUCUGUAAUGCGUCCCGGUUUCCUGUAACCCGUGUGUGUCCCGUGUCUGUAAUGCGUCCCGGUUUCCUGUAACCCGUGUGUGUCCCGUGUCUGUAAUGGGUCCUGGUUUCCUGUAAACCCGUGUGUGUCCCGUGUCUGUAAUGGGUCCCGGUUUCCUGUAACCCGUGUAUGUCCCGUGUCUGUAAUGGGUCCCGGUUUCCUGUAACCCGUG
RNAcentral lists this long non-coding RNA (1198 nucleotides) under Homo sapiens (human). Its description in RNAcentral is "HSALNT0383958". Lineage: Eukaryota; Metazoa; Chordata; Mammalia; Primates; Hominidae. The record is from RNAcentral.